CAGAAUAAAAUUGAUUGCUCCCCCGCAGGCUGCAGCCCGUCGUAACCCUAACCCUCUGGAUCCCGCUCGUGGCUUGCCCGCCGCUCUCCAAUCUCCACUCGUACUUCACACCCAUCCUCUGAUGGAUCCUCGCUAGCCCCUUCCUCGUUGACGGCAUGGUUGUGUGGUAGCCAUAUGGCGUGGGAUGUGGCGGCGGCGGCGGCGGCGGCGGCUCAUCUGGAUGUAGCACCAGCACAGGCGGCAAUAGUGUCGCUGGAUGCUGAGAAGCGGUGGCGACGUUGGAUGUGGCACCCGUGGGCGGCGAUGGUGGAGCUAGAUGCGGCAACAGCGUGGGAGGCAGCACAAGCCCGGUGACCCACGUCGACUUCCCCAACAGCUUUGCCUUUGCCGUCACCACAUCAUACCUCUGCAUACCAGGUUGGUUACCGACUGCUGCCACCAUCCCCAUCUCAUCUCAUCUCAUCUCAUCUCACGUGUUCCCGCAUUUUAAAACUGGUACUUGUCUAUCAGUAUUCAAUCAUAUUUAGUUCUAUACAUAAAUGUUUAUUUCAAAAUAGCUACUAAAGUUUUAUGACCAAUUCAUACCUUUACAAUCGGACAGUGAGUUAUGCUCUAGCCAAAAAAUAAUUAACUGACACAAAUUGCCUAGAUAUGGAAAACAUGCAGCAAUAUAUUGAUUCAUCAGGGACAGCGAUAAAAAUGGUUUGGUAAAUAUAUGGUUUCUAUUAGGAUUUUGUGUAGUCGUAUUGCAACAUUUCUGCCUGCAUAUGUAGUUCUGCAUUAGUAAAGUCUAGUGUCAGUAUGACAGUAUCAAUUUCAUAUGCUGUUUAAUGCCUGGUGACAGACAUUCCACCAUUUGAGCUCUUGUUUCCAUUGUGACAUCAUGACGGCUUUUGAGCCAAAAAUGUAUAUACCUGUAUAUUAAAUUUGAUUUGGAUUUCUCUACAGACUACAUGUGUUUCCAUGUUAUAAUAAUUCGCCUGUCUGCUUAGUUAGCACUUUGCUUUACCUCAAGUCAUAAUUUGCCUGUCUGCAUAGUUAGCACUUUGCAUAAUUUGCUUGCCUGCAUAGUGCAUAGUGAGUCGGCUCUUCACAACUAUUGGUAAGCUAUUUUAUUAGUGUCACAGCUUGCAUGCAGUUACUUUAUGAAGCCCAAACAUUGUUCCUAGCAGCGUGUUUGUACUUGUUAAUACUUUAAUUCUUUUCUCAGUUUGUUUGCGUCACUUCUUACAGUAGCUAGAAAGUGGUUCCUCAAUUUCAUUUGAUAUGAUCAUAAUAUUGUUAUUGUAGCCAUUUCAAGGUUGGUUUAGUUUGAUGAUAUUAACUGAGCUAACUCUUGAUUUCAAUCACGUAACCUUUCGAGUGUCAUUUCUAUUCUCUUCUUUAUCUAUGAGCUAGAACUAAUAGAAUGCAUGUGUGCAGGGGCAGGCCCAGGCCUAGGGCCAGUAGGGCCAUGGCCCUAGUCGUGGACCAAAAAUUUUAGGAGCAACUGUUUAUUUUUUUGGCCCAAGAAAGAAGCCCACGAGAAGACUAGCGCACAGACCACAGAGAAGUCGCAACGCUCACCCUCGCGUCGUCCCCUUCCCUCACGUAGUCACGCGGUCGCGCCGUCCUCGGCCCUUGCUCGCACGCGAAGGCGAAGUCCGCUGUGGCCAGGGGCGCCGUCGCCCGUCUGCCGUCCGCCCGUCCCCUCCCCUCGCAGUCGUAGGAAGGCAAGGCACUAGGGCCGACCGGCGACCGCGGCCGUCCGCUUGUCCCCUGCCGGCCUGCUUGGCUGCCCGCCGGCCGCCGUCCCGGGCUGGGCCUGCUCGCCCCUCGCCCUCGCCCAGAGGCUGUCCGCGACACAGCUCGGAGGCAGGGGCCGGACCUGGUCGGAGCCGAGCCAGAAGCCCCCUGCUCCCUGUCCGGCUGUUUCCCUGCUGACCUGCGUGGCUGCCGCCUGCCAACGCCCAGGGGAGCUGAAGCCCUCUUGUCCAGAAGCGUGGUCGUGAACGUGGAGUGAAGCUAAGGUAUUCACUCAAAUUUUGAGGAGUUCAGUUCUUUUCUCUUGAUUUCAACUGUUAAUUGUGUAUUUUUAUUUUAUUGUAAUUAGUCUUUUAGACGAAGAGGACAAGGAAUAUUGCAUCAUAUUUCUCCCGAGUUUGUGAACAAGAACAACGAAUCAUCCAAUCUCCACUGCUGCCAGAUCCAGAGCAAGAACAACGAAUCAUCCAUUCUUCACUAGACAAUAGGUAUUUAUUUUUUAAUGUUCAUUGAUAUUACAUAGCUACUGUAUUGUAGUAUUAAUUAUAUAGUUCAAGAAUUUCUUGGAUUUGCAAACUUUGCUUGAGAAUUUCUAUUUUCCUGUAACAUAUAUGUAUAUAUAUAGUUGUCAAGGGCCUGGCGAUCAAGGGUAGGCGGCCCUCGGCUACGAAGAUCGUAGCCUCCUACCGUUCUUCCGAUCCGGAGGUUAUACCCCUCACAGUCGACCGGGCUUGAGAGGUUUAGGGAGAGAGAGAGAGUUUAGAUAAAUGAUCUUGCUUGCUUUAUUCCCAAAGUCCUUCUCUCAUACAUAUAGCCCAUUGGCUGAGAUUAGAAGGAAAGCAACUAAUCCUUUCCUAUAAUCUAGGAUCUAAUCAAAUCUCCCAACCAAUCUUUCCUAACCAAUCUUUCCUAACUCAGCCUAGCCCCUGGCCGUGGCCUGGCCGUCGCGCGUGUCGAGCUGGGCGCGCUCUGCGCGCUCCUCAGCCCUUCUCAUGUCACGGCUGCGCCUGCGGCGUACAUAAGAUUGGCCCCACAUGACAUCUCUCACCCCCUCGAGACCCAGCUUGUCCCCGAGCUGAAAUUCUGGAUAAGAGACGCGGAAGUCGUCGAGGUCCUCCCAUGAAGCUGAAGACUCUGGUUCGCCGCGCCAGUAGACCAAGACUUGAGUGAUGCCACGGACCUUGCGAGCUUGAGUGACACAUUCAGGUGCCGGCACAACAGCGCCAUGUCGGAUGUCCGGCAAAGGAGGCGGGGUGGACGGGGGAGGCCCAUGGAACUUCUUGAGGGUCCCGAUGUGGAACACGUCGUGGAUGCGGGCCUGCGGGGGAAGCUCAAGCCGCACAGCCACUUCAUUGAUCUUCUGGACGAUGCGGUACGGACCCAAGUAGCGAGCCUUCAGUUUGCCUGCCGAGUGCGGCAAAGAUGCCACUGGUUGCUGACGGAAACGCAGCAGGACCCAAUCACCCACCGCAUAGGAGACAUGGCGGUGAUGACGGUCGUAGUGCAGCUUCUGCACUGCCUGGGCCUGUUCCAGACGAUGGCGCACCUCCGUGAGGAACUCCGUGCGUUCCUCCAUGUCUCGUGCCACGGCUGCGACUCUGGUGUCGCCGGGCUCAUAAGAGCGUAUAGUCGGGGGGUCGCGACCGUAGACCACGCGGAACGGCGUCUCCUGGAGUGAAGCUUGGUAGGCCGUGUUGUAGACAUACUCCGCCCAAGGCAGCCACCGGAGCCACUGGCGAGGGCGGUCCCCCGUAAAGCAACGGAGAUACAUAACGAUGACGCAGUUGGCCGCCUCGGAUUGGCCGUCCGACUGAGGGUGGAAGGCGGAGGUCAUAUGCAGCUUGGAGCCCAUCAGGCGCAUGAGCUCACGCCAAAAGGCCGACGUGAACACAGGAUCCCGGUCGGAGACGAUGGACUGUGGUAUGCCGUGUAGACGGAUGAUGUUGGUGAAGAACGCCUGGGCCACGAACUCAGCAGUGUACAGAUGGCCAAGCGCGAUGAAGUGGCCAUACUUACUGAAGUGAUCGACGACGGAGAGGAUGACCGACUUCCCUUCGACUCGCGGCAACGCCUCGAUGAAGUCCAUGCCGAUAUCAGCCCAAACUGCGGAUGGUAUCGGAAGUGGCUGCAGGAGUCCCGCCGGUAACAGGUGCUCUGACUUAAAGCGUUGACAGGUGGCGCAGCCCCGCACAAAGUCCUGCACGAUGCGGCGCAUGUGGGGAAAGUGGAAGUCGCGGUGCAGCCGAUGCCAUGUACGCUGCACACCCUCGUGUCCAUCAUCAUGGACUGCGGCCACAAUUUCCUGGAGCAGGGGCGAAGAGGGCGGGAUGUAGAGGCGCCCGUCAAAGAGCACCAUGUCGUCCUUGACCGUCCAGGGCGCGGUUCUGGACCCUGCUCGGAUUUCGUCGUGAAUGGCGGCCAAGGCUGGGUCGACGGCCUGUGCGUGACGGAGGCGGCUGAUGAAGUCGAAGCGCGGAGCUGAGAUGGAGCAGAGGCCGCCCAUGCUGUCCUCCUCAGCAUCCCGGCGUGAGAGAGCGUCGGCCACCACAUUGGUCGCCCCGGACUUGUACUCCACCGCGAAAUUGAAGCCGAGCAACUUGCCGACCCAGUGAUGCUGGGGUAUGGUGGCCAGGCGUUGGUCCAAAAGAAAUUUGAGACUGUGAUGAUCAGUCUUGACGGUGAAGUGGCGCCCCCAUAAAUAUGGCCGCCAGUGGCGCACGGCAAGCACGAGGCCAAUAAGCUCCCGCUCGUAUGCCGCGAGGGAGCGAUGCCUGGGUGCCACCGGCCUGCUGAAGAAGGCGAUCGGGUGACCAUCUUGGAGAAGCACGGCGCCGAAACCAUAUGUCGACGCGUCGCACUCCACGACGAACGGUCUGGCAAAGUCGGGGAGGGCCAAGAUCGGCGCCGUGGUGAUCGCGGUCUUGAGGUUGCUGAACGACGCCUCAGCCGUAGUACUCCAGGUGAAGCCGUCCUUCAAGAGCGCCGUGAGGGGCGCGGCGAUGGAGCCGUAGUUGUGGACGAAUUUCCGAUAGUAGCCCGCCAAGCCCAGGAAGCCACGCACUGCCCGGGCGGAACGGGGACGGGGCCACUCAUGGAUGGCCUGGACCUUGGCGGGAUCCAUGGCGACGCCGGCGGCGGAGAUGGUGUGCCCCAAGUAGGCCACGGCGUCCACCCCAAAACAGCACUUGGUGCGUUUGACGAACAACCGGUGCUGCCGCAGGAGCUCGAAGACGAUGCGGAGGUGCCUGAGAUGAUCUGUCUAGGAGACGCUAUAGAUCAAGAUGUCAUCGAAAAAGACUAAGACAAAUCGCCGAAGGUAGGCCCGGAGAACGUCGUUCAUCAGUGCUUGGAACGUGGCCGGGGCGUUGCACAGCCCGAACGGCAUCACCAAAAACUCGUAGAGGCCGUCGUGGGUGCGGAAAGCCAUUUUGUGGACGUCCUCGGGCCGCAUCCGCACCUGGUGAUAGCCGGAGCGCAAAUCAGGCUUGGUGAAGUAGCGCGUGCCGUGAAGCUCGUCGAGGAGCUCGUCCACCACCGGAAUGGGAAAAGCGUCCUUGACGGUGAGCGCGUUGAGGGCGCGGUAGUCGACGCAGAAUCUCCAUGAGCCAUCGGCCUUGUGGACAAGGAGAGCCGGGGAUGAAAACGGCGAGUUACUGCGACGGACGACGCCCUGCUCCAGCAUCGCGGCGCACUGGCGUUCCAGUUCAUCUUUGUGCGCGGCCGGAUAACGGUACGGCCGUACCGCGACAGGGGCGGAGCCUGGCUUGAGGAUGAUGGCGUGGUCCCGUGUACGCGGCGGGGGAAGGCCGGAUGGUGCGGCGAAGAUGUCCUCGUAGGCGGCCAGGAGCUCGUCCAGGAGCGUCCCACUGGCCGCGGCGAUGGUACGUAGGCUGGCCGCGGCGGAUGACGGUAUGCCUGUCCAAGUGAUGGUUCGGCCGUCGAGCUGGAAGGACAUGGCACGCUCGGCAAAGUUCCACACGAUGUCGCCGAGCGUUCGCAUCCAGCAGGUACCCAGCACCACUUCGUACCCUGCAGGUGGCAUAACAAAGAGAUCGGUGUGGAAGGCGGUGCCGUUGAUGGAGAAGGGUGCGUUCCUGAUGACGCCCGGGCAGGCCACGCGCUCGCCGUUGGCGACCGUGGCUGUCAAACGGGGGCGAUCCUGGAUCGGUAAGCCAGUGAGGCGCGUCGCGUCCUCGCUGAUGAAGCUGUGCGUGGAGCCACUGUCGAGCAGCGCGAGGAGGGAGGCCGCCCCCACCGUCGUCGUGAUCUGGAUGGUGUCUGAGACGGGCACGCCAGCGACCGCAUGCAUGGAGUAGCACGACGCGUCGGCAGCAGGGUCCUCUGCGGUGGCGUCCGCUAUGGCCACAGGAUCGUCCGCGGCAUCGAUCUCCACCCCAUCCACGAAGAAGAGCCUCUUGCAGAAGCGAUUGUGACCCCUGGUGUAUGGUUCAUUGCAGUUGAAGCAGAGUCCUUGAUGGCGUCGUUCCGCCAUCUCGGCCGGGGACAGCCGACGUUGAGGGCCCUCUCCUCGGCCCUGCGGCGCGGCCUCUGGGGGUGCCGGCAGGGCCAGCGGUUGCUGGGGCGCCGGCAGUGCCGGACGCGGCGCUGGUGCGGCCAGCAGGCCACGCGCGGGUGCCCUGGUAGGAGGUGGUGCCGGCCGGGAUAGCUCCAUCAACUCCACCUGACGGGCCAGACUCAUAGCUUCGGCGAGGGUGGUUGGGUGAUGAAGGCGGACAGCGUGGCUCAGCGGCGGCAGAAGGCCACCCGUGUAAAGCUGAACACGCUGGUCCUCUUUGAGGCGUCCCGCUCGGGGCAAGAGGGCCUGGAACCGAUUGGAGUAGUCGUCGACGGUGUCCGUACGCCGGCAUUCGGCGAGCUCGAACAUUGGCGCGGAGCGGAGAGGGGGGCCAAAUCGUAGAUGCAGGAGGUCCUUGAAGUUGGUCCAGUUUGGCGUGCCCUCGUCCGUCUGCAGCUGGAUGAACCAAAGCUGCGCGACGUCGUCGAGGUGAUAGGAUGCCAUGGAAACGCGGUCGUCCACCGGGGUUCGGUGUUGACGGAAGUAGGCGUCGCAUUUGUUGAUGAAGAGGAGCGGAUCCGUCGUGCCGUCGAAGCGGGGAAAAUCCCACUUCUUGUGCUUCGGGUGAAAGUCCUGCUCGUGAGGGCCCCUUGGACGGCGAGCGUCGUCGCUGCCGGAAGAGGAGGCGAACUUCUCCUUCAUGGAGGCCAUGUCGGCUUUGAGGACCAGCAGCUCGGCGGACAUGGACUUCAUCUCAGCGAAGAGGUCGGCGAGCGUGGGUUCGGCCAUGGUGGAGCGUAGGGUGGACGAGGCCGAGGUUGCUGGGGAUGGCGGCGGCGGCUGUGAUGGGGCUGCGUCGGCGGCGGAAGUGGAUUGGGAGGAGUUUAGAUAAAUGAUCUUGCUUGCUUUAUUCCCAAAGUCCUUCUCUGAUACAUAUAGCCCAUCGGCUGAGAUUAGAAGGAAAGCAACUAAUCCUUUCCUAUAAUCUAGGAUCUAAUCAAAUCUCCCAACCAAUCUUUCCUAACUCAGCCUAGCCCCUGGCCGUGGCCUGGCCGUCGCGCGUGUCGAGCUGGGCGUGCUCUGCGCGCUCCUCAGCCCUUCUCACGUCACGGCUGCGCCUGCGGCGUACAUAAGAUUGGCCCCACAUGACAAUAGUCCUAUAGACUAUAUUGUAGGUUGUAGCUUUUGGAUUUUGGCCACUAUAAUUUGAACACCAGGAUUUGGCCCUAGUCUUGGUUAAAUCCUGGGCCCGCCACUGCAUGCGUGCUAAUAUAUUUCAUUUUGAUAUAGGAAUUUAUCAAAGCCAAGUAUGUCUUGUAGACACUAAAUCUGGUUCCUCCUGGAUCUUCAAAAUGGGCUUAUGGUUUGUGCUAUUUUUUUGACAUGUUGUUUGCUUCUGCAUGCAAGAAAAGGUGAGGAAUCUGGAGCACAAGAUUAAAGGGGAAGGUACAUGCUCAGGAACCUAGUAUGUUACUAAGUUUAGCUCCUAGGAUAUUAGCUCCAAGUGGCAUCAGUAUAGGAUAUUAGCUCAAAGCCCUUCAUGCAUAUCUCUAUUGUACAGAUAUAAUGGUACUAAAUUUUUAUUGACCUGAAUAUAUUAUUGUAUAUUGUAUAAUGAAAUCAUUUGACAGUUUUUAUUUAUGGGAUGUAAAUCCAAAUGGUCUCUAUGAUUUAUAUGUGACAUCUGCAUGAAUUGAGAUGCAUGUGUAUAUGAUUGGAAUGCACGGUGGUAAGCCAGAGAUACAUGUAUCUAUGUGCAGUGUAAUAAAAUGUUUAUAUGGAUGUCAUCAUUGUCAACUCAGUUUGCCAACUAGAAUACUAAAAUUUAUAUAUUAUUGGAAGACUUUUUGUUGCUCAUAUGCAUUUUCUUGAGGGCUAGCCUCCAAGGAAGUCGAAUUAUUAAGCCUAAUUAAUCCAUCAUUAGCACAUGUUGGUUACUGUAGCAACUAUGACUAAUCAUGGACUAAUUAGGUAUAAAAGAUUUAUCUCGCUAUUUUACACCCAAACUGUGCAAUUAGGUUUUAUCUACAUGUAAUGUUUCAUGCAUAUGUUGAAAGAUUCGAUAGGAUAGGUCUAAGCAAGGCCUAAGUAACAGAUAAAGUAAAACAAUAGCUUCUAGCUAGUAGGAAGAGAAAAUAGAUAGCAGCUGCCAUGACUUAUUAGCAUUGUGGGUGGAAUUGGCCAAUGGUAGGAGCACUUACCACUCAAAUCGGGGAACCAAGCAAGGCAAUGGAGGAAUAGGAGUCGCUUGAGGUAUGAAGAGAAGUCAGUGCUGGUUCAAUGGUUGUGCAGUCUGGCCUAUGCCGAUUGCUGAGUUAGUAUUGAUGCAUGAUGACGUGCAGAUGACGAAGACGAGGAGACGGGGUGAUGUUUGCUGUCACUGAGCGGCAGAGGUUUGAUGUUUUGACUUGUGAAUCGCUGGGUACUUGGUUGAGGGAUACGAGGUGGGGGCCUAUGCUUUUUGGGGGCUAGGUUCGAUCGCCCACCUCGCACAUGCCUAUCGAUGGCCCUAAGAGGGAGGGGUAGAUUGGGAACGAUGGAAGAGGGGAGGGUUUUUCAGUAAAAAAACGUAGAGACACUUAUGCGUGGAUCCCCCACAACACAAGAGAUUAUUAUGGAGAUAGAUAAGUAAAAGUGUUUUAAAAUUGAUUUCUUCAACUUAGAUUGAAAUAGUUUGUAUAAUAUUUAGCUUCGCUACAUAUUUUCAUAUUUAAUGUUUGCACAUUUAUAUGGACUUCACCUUUUUUAUUACCUGAACAGGAGGUCUUACAAGGUCAUUAUGUUUGUCAAUAUGAUGAAAUUAAAAAGAAUGUAUGUGUACAUAUAUAUUGUCUUAAACGAUCACUACCGCACUCUGGUGCUUUAUCGAGUACCACUGGCUCUGGGAUUCGAACCCGUGACCUCUCUAUCAUGUGUCUCCCUCCCUAUUCUCUAACCACUACACCGUACCGUCACUUAUGUCUAUACUGUAUUUCGGUUUCUCAUAUUAUACUAAACCAUAUAUAAAUUAAUUGUUUGAGACUCUAAGCUAUUUUAAAUCAAAGUUGACACUACCAAGUUUCAUAACUUUUUGGGAUCUACAAUUCUCAUUUAGGAAGUUUCUCCAUCUGAGGCCUUUUAUAAAAUUUGAAUUUCAAAUUUAAGAAAUUCAAACGUAGUAAGAAAUUCAAACGUAGUUUUGACAUGACAAAAAUAUUUUAAAUUAAAAGGUUGUCAACUAUAAAGUUUCAUAACUUUUUAAGAUCUACAAAGUUUAUUUAGAGAGUUUUUUCAUCCGGGGAUUGUUUGAAAAUUUUGAAUUUUAAAAUUUUCAAAUAAAGACGCAAUUUUGCAUGACAAGAUGAGCUCAAAUGAAAUAUUCGCCAACUACAAAAUUUCAUAACUUCUCAAGAUCUACAAAGUUUAUUUUGGUUGUUUGUUUAUUUGUUCAUAUGAUAUGGUGAUUCUAACAUUUUUUACAAAACUUAUAUAACUAUAAGAGAGAUGCAAAUUUAUGAAUAUUUAUUUUUACUUUGUCAAAUGAAGAAAUAACAAAAAUUAAGGUUGUAGAUCUUGAGAAGUUAUACGACUUUGUAGUUGAUUUUUUUUAUUCAAAUUCGUUUAGGACUUCAAAAUUCGAUUUGAAAUUUUCUUUACCGAGUGUCAAAAGGACACACGACAAAGACCUUCUUUGCUGAGUGUUUUUCUUGACAAUCAGCAAAGAAGCCUCUCUUUGUCAAGUGCUUGUUUUUGUCGAAUUUUUUUUUUUGCACUUGGCAAAAGAGCUUGUUUACUGAGAGGUAAAUUAUUUGAAACUGCAAAGAGCCGAAUUCUAGUAGUGGAUGUUACUCCUACAUUACAGUGCUGGCAUGUGUAUUGUCUUCUUGAGUUCUUGGUCUCUAAAAGUUUUGUAGACCGCCGGGCCCAGCAGCGCAAUCUAUAUUUCAAGAAACGGGGUUCAUUUUCAAUCAAAAGGAGACCAAGCUCUUUUUUUUUUCUCCGAUUUACUCGUACACUGUGUAUUCGGCACCCCGUCCAACAACACUGCGCAGAACAGAUCUAGUUUAGAGUGAAAAGCACUUCAUUCUCAAAAAAGCACUGCCACACGUUCGGGCAUUAGCACCGGUCGGGAAGGGCCUGUUGCCCCGGUUCCCGAGCCGGUGCUGCCCUUCCGGGACUAAAGGCCCACCCUUUAGUCCCGGUUCGGGAAACCGGGGCUAAAGCACCCCCUUUAACACCGGUUGGUAACACCAACCGGUGUUAAAGGGUCCUGCCAGGGCUGCCACGUUGCAGGACCCUUUAACACCGGUUGGUAUUACCAACCGGUGUUAAAGGGUUUCUUUUUCUUUUUUUUGGUUCACUUCUUCGGUUCUGUUUAUUGUUUAUAUAUAAUAUAUAAUAAUAGGUUUUUCAAUACAUGUUUUGCUGAUACAAUAUUAUAUUUAUAUUACACGCAUACUAAGCAUAUAUAAAUGAAAAUUAUAGGCUUAGCUUAAUAAUUAAGCUUUGCCUAUAAUAAAAUGAAUAGACCACAUCAAAAAUUAAAUAGAUAUGUAAAAAGCUUUAUAUAUAUAUAUAUAUAGUUUUAUAUGUACAAAAUUCGUAACACAUAUAUACAUAGAGUUUUUUCUCCCAAUGUUUACAAACGAUACAAAUGAUCAUCGUUGUUUGGAAUAAGAGUUUCGUUGCCGUUGAAGUGAAACUCGCCGUUUGGAUUGAUCACUUGGUCGCGGAGAAAUCCUGCUAUCGUCUCUUGGAUAGCUUUGAUUCGGUCUUGUUGUAGGACCUUUUCCCUCAGCCAUUCCGUCUUUAAUUUGAAAUAAAUAAAAAAGAUAUUAGUUAUCUAAGUUAUUCAAUAUAAUUCAGGAGAUAAUGAAAAGAGACAUGUAACGUACUCUGAGCGUCUCUGUGGGUGUUUGAUUGACUUGUGCCAUCAUGAAUUUGCACACGUAAUAUGCACAUAGAUUGUUCCCCCUUCUUGUCUUAAACACCACUGUACGAUAUAUAUAUAAAAAUAUUCACGACCACGACAAUAAGAAGGCUAAAAGUUAGCGAAAUUUUGUUAGCUAGUAGAACUUACUUGUGGAUGUAUUAUGUUAAGCGGCGCUUUACAUCCACUGAGAUGUUCACGGUCAAUGAAUCUUUCCCAAACCCUAUACACAGCCAUUGUAUAUUGUGAACUAAUAAUUACAGAGUCAUAUUAUGAUAUUUUUGUAGCUGAGAUCGACAUUACGUACCUUUGAAUAAUGUUUACCAUUUGUUGAUAAUUUUCUUGUGGUUUUCUCAUUGAGUCAAAGAUUAUCAACCGGUUCUUGGGAAUUUCAAUGACCAUGAGUAUCCAGUGAAAGCUGUUUACACACACAUAUAUAUAUAGUCAGUCCUAUAAUGUAAAAUAAAAUAUGCAUGCACUUAAUAACUAUAUAACUCACUCGAAGUUGAAGGGGAAGAGUAUUUUUUGUUUUUCUUUUUGGUUCACAAAGAACCUCAUAAGAUUGGUGCAGACUUCUGUCUCAUGAUCUGCUGUCCACACUGCCUGCGGAGCCUUGAAAACAAUAUAAGGGUCAACGAACCCAAUACUAUUGUCAUUUCUCAUUCUGAGCUCUCUCAUUUGGUGCCUGCAUAUAUACAUACAAAUACUAAGUGUGUAAGGAUUAUAUACAUGUAAUUAAAGAAGUUAGAAGUAUAAUAAAAAGAAAAAAAUACUUACAGACAAAAGCAGCUGACAAGAGAUUUGUCAAGAGCGUCGAGGUGGCAUAAUUGGUGCAAUUCUUCGAACUGCACGUAUAUGAGGUCAUCUCCACGGAAGUAGUGAUGUUGUCUAAUACGAACAGAAAUCCAAUUAUCUCCCCUUUUAGACGCCUCAAUGCACCAUUUGUUUAUUGCAAACAUUUGUGUGCCGAGCUCGUGUAAACGCUUAGGAUCGAAUAAACUCCUGCCCGGUUCAUAUCUUGCCCUCCAUUGAUCAACUACCUCGGCUUUUUCAAAUGUUUGGCAUCCAAGAAUGGCGGCAAUUUCUUCCAUAUUUAAACCGCUCUGUCCAAAGUAACGCUCAAGCGAGUCUAGCUCAGACAACGCUAAGGAUUUCUUUGGCAUCAAGUCUUCAUUUGAGCCGUAUUGAUUUGGCACAAUCAAAGGGGGCACCGGUUUUGAUACUUCUCCGAGCUGUGGGACCCCUUUUCCUACUCUCUUCUUAGUAGGCUGUGAAGACUUGACCAGAGACCGCUCAUAGUCCGAAAGUGCUGGCUUUUUCUGAGCUUCGCGUUGCUUCUUUUGAUGGUCCGCCACCUUCUGCCUCAGUUCUGAUGGCUUCACAUAAAAGUAUGGCUUUUCUGGGUUAAGCCGUUUUUUCCUUUCCUCCUUUAUUUUAUCAAAAAAUUGUUGGACCUCAGCUUUAGAUGUAGCAAUUACCUCCUCUUCACUCUUUUCGUAAGGUAAUUUUUCUGGCGUCUUAGCUCUCUUUGCUGAGGCAGCCUUCUUUGGAGGUGGGACCGAUGACUUCGGUCCUUCUUGGGCAGACCGCUUCUUACUACCUCGCUUUGGAGGCGAGGGGACCGACCGUGCACUCUUUGGAGAGGGCGGUGCAGGCGGUGGAGGGGGUGGGGCCGAUCUUUUUGGCGUUGGAGAACGCGGUGGAGGAGUUGGAGAACGCGGUGGAGGAGUUGGAGACCUCGGUGGAGGAGGUGGAGACCGUGGUGGAGGCGGUGGCGGGGUCGGUGUGGCCGCCGCAGGUGUUGGAGGAGAUCCAGCAUUGUCACCGCCCGCAGCACUAUGAUGCGCUGGGGAGAGAACUGGACUUAGGUUGGAGGAGUCCCUGCAAAGAAAAGAAUUACAAGUUUUGUGAGUAAACUUUUUUUAAAUUUCAAUACAUAAUAAAUAAUAUAAGAAGUAAAAUCACACACAAACCUAUGCUGAGAAAUAAUUAUGAAGCGCUUGCGCCAACAAAUAAAUGUCUUCUCAGCUUCACCUAAGGUCUUCUCUCCGUCUCCCCCUUCUAUGUCUAGUGGCACAUUGCCACAACCUUUCUCAACCCUAUCAACCGAGACGCUAGCAUAUCCACCAGGUACUGGUCGAUUAUGGAUUCUUGGAGUGCCCGUUCGGUCGAUAGGGUUGACAACAGCGAUAGCCACCUUUUUGGUGGCAUUCCCAUCUGGUACAUGCAGCUCACAGGUAGUAAAAGCCUCUGUGACAUCAUCCACGGGGAAGUGUAGCUUCGUGUCAUCCUGAAUGGUUGGUACUUCCGUGGAUGCGCAGCUGCUUUUCAACUGGCCUGGGGGGCUAACAUUGACCUCAGGCUGUGAUGUACCUUGCCCUUUCGUCAUUUGACUAAGUGCUGCUUGCACUUGCCUUUGAAUCUCUGCCUGCAUCCAUUCUUCACGAGCUUUCUCGCGCUCUUGUGACUGCAGAACAAAAGCUUCCAGGCGGCGGAUCCGCUCUGCCUCCUCAUCCUUCUUUCUCUGGCGGCUUCUGUAGGUAUCUUGAUCGGCUUGGAAUGAUUGCAGCCACGGAACUGCCCCAUAGCCUCUCGUACGCCCACCGUGCUCAGGAUUUUCAAGCGCAUAGGUGAGUUCAUCCUUCUCCCUGUUAGGCCUGAACUCACCAGACUGAACCGCCUCUCGUGCACGGACUAGUCUCUCUGCUGCUCUAGAGAUUUCUUGGCCCCAAACUAGCGCCCCGGUGUCUGGGUCCACGCUUCCUCCAUGACCGUAGAACCAAUGCUUGGAGCGCUCGCUCCAAUUCUUUGCUAUUGUCUCUGGUGUGACCCCCCUAGCAAGCAUCUCCUGUUCCAUUCGGUCCCACUUGGGAACAACACUCUUAUAACCACCUGAUCCCAUAUGAUGGUGGUAUGCCUUUUUACUGGUAUUCUCUUUGUUUCUAUUGGCUCGUUCCUCGCCCUCUUCUGAUGUUUUGUACUGCACAAAGUCAUCCCAGAAGGCCCUCAGCUUUACAUAUUGCUUGAGGUUGAAAUCUGGAGUCUCGUUUUUCUUGACAUAUUUAUUAUACAAAGACUUCUUCCAAUUCUGGAAGAGUACUGCCAUCUUCUUCAUAGUCCAGUCAUAAAUUCGCACCUUCAACUCUUCAUCGUUGGUGUCGAAGGUGAAAACGUCUGUGACGGCUUUCCAAACUAACUCCUUGUCACGAUCGGAGACAAAACUGAUCUCAGGAGCACCUCGCUUCUCUCUCCAUUCACGACAACUGAUCGGUAUUUGAUCUCUUACAAGAUAUCCACAGUGACUAACAUAUUUAUUUGCAUGCUCACCAAGUGGUCUGCCUGUAGCUAUCUCAAACUCAGAGAUUACAUAGCGGCCCUCCAACGGCUUCUUUGGCCCUCGUGGAGGUACGCUUCUCCCCGUAGAGGUCGAUCCAGAAGGCUACACGUACAUAUAGAAACAAAAAUACUAAAUUAAUAACCAAGUAAUAAGUCUAAAACCUAAUGUAAGAGAUGCAUUAUUUAUAUAUGUUUACAUUUACAUACCUCGCCAGUAUUUUCUUCUUGUUGCACGACAAGUUGUUGCUCAGGGGCAUUGCCCUCUUGUUGCUCAGGGGCAUUGCCCUCUUGUUGCUUAGUAGGAUUGCCUUGCAUGAUGUCGUGGUAAUCAACAAAGUACUGACUACCGUCGUCGAUCAUAUUUUGAAUGGCAGCUUCCAUAUAAUCAGGAUCAUCAUGAGGACGGUCAGCCAUUUCUAUGUCUGCAACCAUACAUAUAUAUAUAUAUAUAUUCUAUAUAAGAUAAGAAAUACACUAAUACUACUACAAAUGAAAGUGUUGGAGUGCUCUAAAAAUAAUACUAGGAUCUUUUAAGCCAAGUGUGGGGGUAUAAACCCCUAUACCCUUACGGCUAGACUUCAGCCAGGAAGCUUGGCCCAUUACGAGACGAGUUCAAGGCUUGAUCCGACAGCCCGAGUUUCGCGCAAGGAAACAAGACGUGGAGAUCAAGCAGGAUUCUAGUCGGUUAGAAUAGGAAUUGAUAUCGAAUUAUCUAUGGCAAUUGUAACCGGCCAGGAUUAGUUUCUAGAUCUGUAACCCUGCCCUCCAGACUAUAUAAGGAGGGGCAAGGGGACCCCCUGGGACAGAUUAUCUCUCAACACAAUCCAAUACAACCAGACGCAGGACGUAGGUAUUACGCCAACUCGGCGGCCGAACCUGGAUAAAAAGCUUGUCCGUGUCUUGCGUCACCAUCGAGUUCGUAGUUUGCGCACCGUCUACCGAUAAACUACUACCGUGGGUAUACCCCAAGGUAGACUGCCGACCAGCUUUCGUCGACAGUGGCGCGCCAGGUAGGGGGUGUGCGUACAACUCUUCCGGCGAACAAGAUGGUCACGAUCCCAGCUUCGGCGACCGUGCCCGAAGGCCUCACGUUCACCGUCGGCCAGAUCACGUGGACGACGUGCAGCGGCGGUUUCGCGACCACGGUUCCGAAAGAGAUCCAGAUCCAAUCUGAGAUCACGCCGUCUCCGACCACACGCAUGACGGCACCAAGCUCCCGACCACCGUUCCCGCUCUACAAGGGAAAGGAGAUCGACUGCUCGGACCUCCUCCAAGCGCUCGAUCGCGCUGACUCCAAGCUACUUGAAGUCUCCCAACUAAUAGAUGGAGUUCUGCGCCAGCCCGACCAAGCCGCUCGAGCAGAUUUUUCGAAAUUCCGCCGGCCAACUCGUGUCGCCACACACGAACGGCUAGGAACGUCCCUGACGAUAACCUCAACCCCCGCAGGACGAUCCGUCGAGCUCAAAAAGGAAGACUAUCCUUGCGGCCUGAACAACUCGGCCUCUGUUUACUCACAGCAUGUCCAAUCCGUUUUCAGCAAAGCGGGCUGGUCGCCGACAAGGAACAAUCGUCACCAUGUCAACAUGGUGACCAUCCGAGAGCUACGGGACGGCCAGGUGUCCAGCACCAACUCAAGCACCGGCUCCGUCCCCACCGAGGUUGUGAACACCGAAGACGAGGACUACGACCUGGAUUUCCCUUCACACCCUCCGGAUUUCGACCGGUUCCCGAUAUUCCCCCCCCGGCGAGGGGAUAUUGUAUUCAAUGUCAGCGCCGACGAACCGGUUGUUGACGGAGAAACAGACGACCAGAGGCAACUCCGCGAACAGCGUAACGCCGAUCGCGCCCGACGGCGUGCGGACGGGCAACAACAGACGCCACCAGGUAACCUCAACGAUGCCUUUGACAUGGUCGGGGACCAGCAGUUCUACAAAACGCCAAGCGCCAACGUGGCUGUCGCCAUGGCCAACCUGGAUCGGCUUCCUGACACACCCGAAUGCCAGGGAGUCCGAACCAGUAUCCGAGCACACCUGAUCGCCGCGAUGGGACAGACAGCGACUCUGCUCAAGAGAGUCCAGGACGUCUCUUAUACGGAAGCCGCCUCCGACCAGACUCAUCGUAGCCGGGCCUCGCCCAGCAGGCGUCGCCGCAGCCACUCCCCCGACAACCGUCGAGGGGACUCACGGCGCGACGAUGGUGGUCGAGACGCCGAUGACCGCCGCCAGCAGAACCGCGUACGCGGCCAGGAAGAAGAAGAUCAACACAGGGAUCUCCGCCACAACAUCCCUCCCAAAGAUGCCCGGGACCGCAUCAACAGGCGCGCCGCAGAGAGAGCAGUCCACGAAAACCUGCGCCGCAUCGAGUACGAUGCGACCCAUGGUCCUCCGGGCCUAAGGCAGUUCUCCUCACACCUCCGCCAGGUCGUGUGGCCCCGCAAUUUCAAGCUCGAAAAACUUAAAAAAUACGACGGCAAGGAAAAUCCAGAGAACUGGAUCACCCUCUACGAAAUCGCCGUCCGAUCAGCGGCAGGAGAUGAGCAUGUCAUGGCUAACUACUUCCCCGUAGUCCUCGACCAGGCUGGUCAUCAGUGGCUCCUCGGCUUGCCCGAGGACUCCUUCGACUCUUGGGAAGAGCUACGACAGGCUUUCAUCGACAACUUCAUCGCCACAUGCGAGCAGCCCGGAAACAAGUAUGACCUUGAAAGGAUAAGAGACAGGAAGAAUGAACCUCUGCGCGAUUACAUCCGACGAUUCUCGGAUAUGCGUCUCAAAAUCCCGAAGAUUUCUCAUGACGAGGCCAUAUCAGCCUUUAUCAAGGGCUUACGUUUCCAUGAAGCGCUGAGGAACAAGCUGUUGCGUAAGCGUCCAUCAACGGUAGCAGAGCUCCUCGCCACGGCUAAAAAUUAUGCCGAUGCUGAUGACGCAGAAAAACUAAUCCGAGACGAUGCGAGAGGCACCGACCAGCCCUCCCGGCGAGAUGACGGUCGUGGCCGCUACGACAACAGAAAUCACCGCCGCUCCGACAACCGCGAUCACCGAGAGGGUUGGGAUCGGCGGCGCGACAGCCGCGACGACUUCAGAGGAAAGCGCCCUCGCGAAUACGACCACGAAGUAAACACGGUCAAACGUCCCAAUGGACGACGGGACUACCAAGACGACUACAACAAAACGUUGAAGGGACCGUGCCAGCUACACCCAAAGUCUAACCAUACCAUGGAAGAGUGCCGCGUCCUCAAAAAUAUCUAUACACGGCGGGCCGCCCAAGAAGACACCGCCAAGAAAAGUAACAAACGCGACGGGCACGACCACGAAGAUGAGGAUGAGGACCAAGACAGGGACCCCCGACACCAAUACGUCAGCCCCACCGACGUGGUCCACUCCAUUUUCGGGGGCAAGGUCUCCACUGAGUCCAAGCGAGAAAGAAAGCUGUUGAAGAGAGCCUGCCUCAACAUAGACAGCACGGACGGGAUGAUCGCAGAUCCGAAAUUUCCCGCCUGGUCCCACAGGGAGAUCGCGUUCAGCAGGAAGGACCAGUGGGCCGCUAUCCCAGAGCCGGGUCGUUUCCCACUAAUUCUUGAUCCCUGCAUCAAUAGCAUCAGAUUCGAGCGCGUGCUCGUGGACGGGGGAAGCUCCAUUGACAUCCUCUUCCGCAACAGCCUGCCCGCCCUCAAGAUAUCACCGGCGCAACUAAAACCUUACGACGCCCAAUUCUGGGGGGUUCUGCCAGGUCAAAGUUCGGUGCCCCUCGGACAGAUAACAUUGCCUGUCCAAUUCGGCACACCCGAUCACUUCCGGACGGAGUUCAUCAACUUCGUAGUCGCGGACUUCGACGGGACCUACCACGCCAUACUGGGCCGCCCAUCGCUGACAAAGUUCAUGGCAGUCCCGCACUACUCAUACCUAGUGCUUAAGAUGCCCACGGAGAAGGGUGUCCUGACCGUCAGAGGCAACGUCUACACUGCGUACACCUGCGAAGAAGAAAGUUUCAAGAUCACCGAGGCACUUGACCUCUCAAUCCGCAUGGCGGAAACAGCAAACCAAGCCGCACAGCUGCCCCCCGACCAGCUCCGAUUACCUGAGCAGGAGACAGCCAGAAAGAAUUCGAAAUCCAAGGAGUACAAAGAAGUGCAGCUGGUCGAAGGCAACCCCGACAAGACAGCCCUCAUCGGGGCUAACCUGGAUCCAAAAUAGGAAGACGCGCUCGUCAGGUUUCUAAGGGACAACGUGAGCGUUUUCGCAUGGAAACCCGCAGACAUGCCCGGCGUCCCACGAAACCUGAUCGAGCACUCCUUAAACGUCUCGAAGACCGCAAGACCAAUCAAGCAAAAACUGCGACGGUUCGCUCGUGACAAAAAGGAGGCUAUUAGGACAGAAAUAACACGGCUUUUAGCAGCCGGAUUCAUAAAAGAGGUGUAUCAUCCCGAUUGGCUCGCCAAUCCGGUUCUUGUACGCAAAAAGAAUAAUGAAUGGAGAAUGUGCGUUGAUUACACCGAUCUCAACAAACACUGUCCUAAAGAUCCUUUUGGUCUUCCUCGCAUCGACGAGGUGGUCGACUCAACGGCCGGAUGCGAACUCCUCUCCUUUCUAGAUUGCUACUCUGGUUAUCACCAGAUCUCGUUAAAAGAAGAAGAUCAGAUCAAAACAUCCUUCAUCACACCCUUCGGCGCAUACUGUUACACUACCAUGUCUUUCGGACUUAAAAACGCCGGGGCCACUUAUCAAAGGGCCAUCCAGCAAUGCCUCCACGACGAGAUUCGCGAUGACCUCGUCGAGGCCUAUGUGGACGACGUGGUCGUAAAAACAAGGGAUGCGAGCACCCUAAUCGACAACUUAGACCGAACCUUCAAGGCACUCAAUAGGUACAAGUGGAAGCUCAACCCCAAGAAAUGCAUUUUCGGCGUUCCUUCCGGUCUACUGCUCGGCAACGUCGUCAGUUGCGACGGCAUACGACCAAACCCUUCAAAAGUCAAAGCCGUACUCGACAUGCGACCACCGAAGAACGUCAAGGAUAUUCAGAAGCUAACCGGAUGCAUGGCCGCCCUCAGUCGUUUCAUCUCAAGGCUGGGGGAAAAAGGCCUCCCUUUUUUCAAACUAUUGAAAGCGUCAGAAAAAUUCUCCUGGACAGAAGAAGCCGACGCUGCGUUCACUCAGCUUAAGACCUUCCUCACUUCACCGCCUGUCCUCACAGCGCCUCAGCCCAAUGAAGACCUGCUCCUUUACAUUGCUGCAACCGACAGGGUUGUUUCCACGGCAAUAGUGGUCGAGCGAGAUGAACCAGGUCACGUCUUCAAGGUCCAGAGACCCGUUUACUUCAUAAGUGAAGUUUUAAACGAAUCCAAGGCUAGGUACCCACAAAUACAGAAGCUCAUAUACGCCAUCCUGAUAACCUCAAGAAAGCUGAAGCACUACUUCGACGGCCAUCGAGUCCUGGUGACAACCAGCUUUCCUCUCGGGGACAUCCUGCGCAAUAAAGACGCCAAUGGCAGAAUCGUGAAAUGGGCAAUGGAAUUAUAUCCAUUUUCCCUAGAGUUCCAGAGUCGCACCACUGUCAAGUCUCAAGCCCUGGUCGAUUUCAUUGCCGAAUGGACGGAUCUCAACGAGCCUUCUGUUCCAGAUGUCUCAGACCACUGGUCAAUGUUCUUUGAUGGGUCCUUGAACAUCAACGGUGCAGGCGCUGGAGUAGUGUUCGUAUCACCAAACAAGGACAGACUCCGCUACGUCCUUCGGAUCCUUUUUCCGGCGUCAAACAAUGUCGCCGAAUACGAAGCUUGCUUACAUGGCGUACGACUAGCCGUCGAGCUGGGGGUUAAGCGCCUCUAUGUCUACGGCGACUCCGCUUUGGUCAUCAACCAGCUCAACAAGGAGUGGGACGCAACCCACGAGAAGAUGGAUCUCUACUGCAAAGAAAUUCGCAAAUGGGAAACUAACUUCUAUGGCAUAGAGUACAUCCACGUGGUCCGGGAUAAGAACCAAGCAGCAGAUGCGUUGUCAAAGUUAGGCUCGUCUCGGGCCCAAAUCCCGCGGGGUAUUUUCGUCCAGGACAUCCAUGAGCCGAGCGUAAGCUCCCCCUGGUCGACAAGCAACCCACCGAGGCAAUGCUCAUAGAUGACGCCACUCCGACAACCGGUGGGCGCGACUGGCGUAUCCCGUUCAUCAAAUACAUCUCAGACGGGACAGGUUUUCAGGACAAAACAGAGAACGAGCGUCUCAUCCGACGAUCAAAGAACUACAUUCUGGUCGACGGAAAACUCAUGCGGAAAAACGCAAGCUCCGAGGUACUGCUCAAGUGCAUACCCCAAGACGAUGGUAUCAAGCUCUUGGAGGACAUACACGCCGGAUCCUGCGGCAACCACGCCGCAUCUAGAACGCUGGUCGGUAAGGCUUUCCGAGCAGGUUUUUAUUGGCCAACCGCGGUCAGCGACGCAGAAAAACUGGUUCGGCAUUGCGAAGGAUGUCAGUUUUUCGCUAAGAGGACCCACGUACCUGCCCAUGAAAUUCAAACCAUCCCGUCGUCUUGGCCCUUUGCUUGCUGGGGGCUUGACAUGAUCGGACCAUUUAAACCAGCCCCGGGCAACUUCAAGUUUGUCUUCGUGUUAAUCGACAAGUUCUCCAAGUGGAUUGAAUACAUGCCCCUGGUCAAGGCAACUUCCGAGAAGGCUGUGGAGUUCCUCAAUCAAAUCAUACACAGAUUCGGCGUCCCGAACAGCAUAAUCACCGACCUGGCACUCAGUUUACUGGCACCACUUUUUGGGAUUUCUGCGAUGACAGAGGCAUAGUCAUAAAAUAUGUGUCAGUGGCACAUCCACGUGCCAACGGUCAAGUUGAACGAGCUAACGGAAUGAUCGUCGACGCCCUAAAGAAAAGAUUGUACACCGAGAACGACAGUGCACCCGGUCGAUGGAUGAAAGAAUUGCCGGCAGUGGUUUGGGGCCUCCGAACUCAGACCAGUCGAAACACAGGGGUGUCUCCCUAUUUCAUGGUGUACGGCGCAGAGGCGGUUUUGCCGUCCGACAUACACUUCGGAUCUCCUAGAAUCGAGCACUUCGACCAGGCGACCGCUGACAACGCCAGAGAACUCGAAAUCAAUUGCAUGGAGGAAAAGCGUUUAGUUUCAUGUCUCCGAACAGCAAAAUAUCUCGCGGCAGUCAGGCGAUACUACAACAGGAACGUCAAGGACCGUUCCUUCGUGGUCGGUGAUCUGGUGCUUCGAUGGAAAACAAGCCAGGAGGGAAUGCACAAGUUAUCUACUCCCUGGGAAGGACCCUUCGUGGUGACCGAGGUCACACGACCUACGUCCUACAGAUUGACAUACCCAGACGGAACACGAGUACCUAACUCUUGGCACAUCGACAAACUGCGACGUUUCUAUCCAUAAAGUUUUAACGACUUUCUUUUGUAAGUAUCUUAUAAUUUUUGACAAUAAAAUUCUCUGUACCUUGUCAUACACAGCACUCGGCAAAACUCCUGCAAUGGAUGCUCUUGGCGACAACCAAGACAAAUACGGUGACACGUCACUCAGAUAUUUUUUUACAGCGCUCAAAACAACAGUCAUGACAAAAAGAAAACUUUAUUACAAACUUUACAUACAAAGUUUACAAUAAAUACCCUGACGGGCAGAUACUAGUCUAUUCCUACAGACUACUUUAUUGGCCUAGCUGCUCGGGCUGAUCACCCGCCUGGCCCUGCUGCCCGGACGAAGGGGUCGGGGCCACCGGCGCCUGGCUGGUCGAGACCGCAGGCGUCGACCGCCCAUCUCCAGCAAAGGACGCGCCCGACAACUCCCUGGCCGACCUAUCUGAGCUCGGCUGGUCUGGAGGAGUGGCUGUUCCGCACAGGUUGAUGUCGCCGAUCACUGUCGACGACAAGUCCAGCAGACUACCCCGAAGUUCGUCCGCUUCCUGUGGGCCGACUUCCUUCGGGUACCCCUUCUCCAGCCUGCUCAAGUCGACCAGGGGGUAGUGGGCGCGUACCAUGCUAAGGACGUGCGCGCCGGCAAACUCCCCGGCGUCCUUCACAAACUGCUGGAGCCAGUCCCACGCCCGUUGCGCCUUUUGGACCGGGGUCAACUGCGGAGCGCGGGGCUGGCUCUCCGGGAGCUCGGGACUGAUCAGGUCCAGGACCGGGGACACUCCCUUCCAGAUCCUGCAACAGUUGACCUUCCAGGAGUCCCGGUCCUUGACCAGCUCAUCCAGGUGUUUUUUGGCGUUCACCUUGAGCACUGCAAACGAAACGAAACGUUACUUUCGGCAUACCAGACAAGCAAAGGGGCAGGUAGCAACCAACAAGGCGGCACCCAUUACCAGCUAACUCCCGAUCUUUUCGACUUAAUUCCUCUUCCGCUCGCCGUCCGGAUUCCUGUGCACUGGCGAGCUGUUGGCCGAGCUGCUCCUUCUCUUGUUGGAGGCUCGCCACCUCCUCCUCCAAGUCUGCGUGAAUCCUAAACUGGUCAGCGAAGCAAACUAUACAAGUAUGCGAAACUGCUCGGAGCGUGUGACUAACCUUCCUGCAGCCGGUACUGGUCGGCCAGGCGACGAGCAAGGUCGAGACGACGCUCCUUUUCGGUGCUCAUCUCGACCACCUUCUCUCCGACCUCCGCCCGCAACCGGUCUACCUCCGCGGCAAGGGCCUUGUUCUCGGCCAUGACGCCUUCUAUCUGGUCAAAGCACCGUUUCCGGUACUUCGCCGUUUUCAUAACGUCCUACAAAGCAAGCAUAUAACAAUGCGCAGAAGACAAGGCAAAAGAAUGCGCGGCAGCUCAAAACGCCGCUUACCUUGACUUCGUCGACAAGGCGCUUGGCCGCGCGCUCCACCCUGGCGGCCUCUUCGGACUCGGCAAGCUCCUCAUGACCGAUAAAGUGAUCCCCGCGUUGGCGCCACACAUACACGUGUUGGCGGCCAUCACGGGGACGACCCUCGAUCUCUUCUACCUCGUCGUCGGAGGCCACCCUGGUUUCCUCCUCCUGGGCUGCGUCACCCCCGGUGGUGGUCCCAGGCGUCACCGUCCCUUGAACCAGACCUGGGGAGCCCGCAGCCGGAGAGGCUCCUGCUCGGGGCGGCGGGGGGACUUCACUCCCCCCGGCAGGAGGGGCGGUCGGAGACCUUCCCUUCUCCGAGGAGCCAGUUGGGGGAGCCUCCCCAGCCCUGGUCGGGCUGCUUGUUGUAGUCGGCGCCGCGCUCGGGAGCUCCUCGGUGCUCCCAGGCGCGACUGCAGCAGUCGGCUGUUCUGUGGUCUGGGGGGCCGCAUCCCCAGAACCGCGGGCAGGCUCGCCCGUUCCCUGGCCGGCAGUUUGGCCAGGGUCGACAUCCGAUGCCGCACUACAGGAACAAAAGUAAAAAAAAAAAAAAGAAGGAGUCCAAAAUACGUAAGUUGAACACUUACAGGUCUGACCGGCGAUGGGUCGCGGUGAACCUCCUCCUCGCCCGGCCGGUCGGCGCCUGUGCCCCCACCUCGGCAACUUGCGGGGCAGCUGCGCCGCUGGCCACUCGAUCAGUGGCGACCGGUGCAGCGUCUGGGCGGCCCCGAGGCGGUCGGACCAACGACGGCGCAGCCUCCUCCUCGUCGUCGUCGUCGUCGACGAUCCGCACGAGCCGACGACGCUUCGGCGCUUGGCUGCUCUCCGCCGGUAGGUCUGCCGGCAGCUCCGGCGUCGGCAGGGGAUCCACCGGCAAUGGCCUUUUCCCCGCCACCCUCUCCUCGGAGGUCGGGACGGGGCGGGCUCGGUCUUCCUCUGGCGGGACCUCUCCCACAGGAUCUUCCAUCCCCGGUGCCAGUGAUACGUACACUACGCACCGGUCGACAUCACCGACCUGCAAAAGUAACAGAGAUGAGCCAACUACAGACGACAUACGAAUGAUCAAAACGGAGUCUGCUACAUACCUUUGGUGCUGGUCGUCCUAACUUGAAGGCUUGCACCCGAUCACUGCUACGGGUGAAGCCCCCAUCCGCGAAGUUAAACAGCUCGUUCAGCAGCUGUUGAACCUCCGCCUUCUCCAGGAUCUCCGACCGCAUCCUGGUCGGGUCUGUGCUUCCGGCAUACUCAUGCGCCGAGUGCACCCUCUUCUGGCAGGGCAUCACCCGGCGGCAAAUGAAGUUGCCGACCACGCUAAGCCCAUCCAGGCGCGACCAGUCGAUCAGCUUCAUCAGAUCCGCCACUUGACCGUCGAACUCUGGGCGGUCAGUCCAGCUCGCCCUCUUCUCGGGAACGUACCCCACGUCGCAGAACGUGGAGCUGCCCGGUUCCUCCCUGACAUAGAACCACUUCCUGUACCAUUCGGUCAAGGAGGUGUUCCAUGGGCAGUGCAGGUAGCGAUUCUUCAUCCCAUCACGAAGGUUGAGGUAUACUCCACCUGCAACCUUGGAGCCUCCAACUGCUCCCUUCUUCCUCAGACAGAAAAGGUACCGGAAAAGAUCAAAGUGCGGCUCUAUGCCAACAUAGGCCUCGCACAGAUGGAUGAAAGUGGAAAUAAGAAGAAUUGAGUUCGGAUGCAGAUUGCAAAUCCCGAUCUCAUAGUACAAAAGAAGACCUUGAAGAAAGGGAUGAACAGGAACACCAAAGCCUCUCUUGACGAAAUCCUCAAAAACGACGAUCUCACCGGCGCGAGGGUCGGGGUAGCUCUCCCCUUCCGGCGCCCUCCAGCCGCCGAGCUCUGCGCCGUGCAGAAGCCCCAUGUCGACGAGGUCACCAAGAGACUUUGUGGUGCUGCGAGACUUUUUCCACUCCUUGGCCAUCAACUCGGCCCUCUUCCUGGAAUCGCUCUUCGCCAUUAGAGGUGCGAAUGUGAGCUGGAGCUAGGAAAAUGCAGGAGAUUGGAGAAGAUGAGAGCGGAAGAUUUGAAGGCAAUGGCAGAAGAAGCGGUACAGGCGGUCCUAUUAGGCCCUUAUAAACCCGCGACCCCACCUCUCCCACUUCCUGUAUUCUCGGGAAGUGGGCAGGCCAUGCGGCGGACGCGGCGUUUCGGUUUACAAUGAUUAUAGGCAAUUAAUGCGGCGGAGUUUUCGUACCAAUUGAUGGUUUCCUUUUCUCAAACCAUGCAAAGAGCGGUUGUACAGUUGCCAGGUGCGGCUUUUUAUGCAUCCGUCUGACAUAUCGUCAGGAGACCCCGUCAUGUCAACUUUAAUGGGAAAGAUUUUUUCAAAAGUAAGAAGACACAUACACCAUUCGGUCAAGCAAUCCGGGGACUGCACAGACCACCGAGCACUCGAUGCUCGGGGACUGGUCGCCCAGUCAAUCAGCUCGGAACUUCAAGGACUGCACCGACCACCGAGCACUCGACGCUCGGGGACUGGUCGCCCAGUCAAUCAGCUCGGAACUUCAAUGACUGCACCGACCACCGAGCACUCGACGCUCGGGGACUGGUCGCCCAGUCUAUCAGCUCGGCACCUCAAGGACUGCACCGACCACCGAGCAUUCGACGCUCGGGGAUUGGUCGCUCAGUCUAUCAGCUCAAGGCUUUAAAGCAUGCACCGACCACUGAGCACUCGACGCUCGGGGACUGGUCGUGCAGUAUAGAAACAUAUAAUUCCAAGCAGCGCACUAAGUGCCUGGGGACUGGUCGAUUGGUCUUUUCGAUUUGCAGACGAGCAUGACAUGCUCGGGGACUGUUGAAUUCAAUUUUUUAGACCUUGCUACAAGGCUCAUACUUCGCCUUCCAGCAAGCUCGGGGACUACAUCGGUACGAUGCAUCUAGCGAUGCAUCUCAGUCUCAAAACUACUUUGGGGAAUUUUCUCUUGACCCUGGCACCACGUGCCUACGUCACCUACUACCAGGCUCGGGGACUAAGUGGGCACACUUCACCUGGCGGUGAAUUUGCUUGCCUUUUUUGGAUGCUGCUACCUUUCAAAAAGGGCAAAGUGGGCACACUUCACCAGGAAAGAAAUUUUUUUUAGAGCACCAUGCAUUCUUCGAACAACCUGCUUCUUCGAUGACAACGUUGAUCAAUGAACCGUUCGGGCGAUUUCCCCGCUCAUUGAAGACGACAGGCCACGCUGAUCGAAGAAGCUCAAGACGGCGUGUUGCAUCACAAUACAUGGCGCUCGGGGACUAGCUGUGGGGGUAUAAACCCCUAUACCCUUACGGCUAGACUUCAGCCAGGAAGCUUGGCCCAUUACGAGACGAGUUCAAGGCUUGAUCCGACAGCCCGAGUUUCGCGCAAGGAAACAAGACGUGGAGAUCAAGCAGGAUUCUAGUCGGUUAGAAUAGGAAUUGAUAUCGAAUUAUCUAUGGCAAUUGUAACCGGCCAGGAUUAGUUUCUAGAUCUGUAACCCUGCCCUCCAGACUAUAUAAGGAGGGGCAAGGGGACCCCCUGGGACAGAUUAUCUCUCAACACAAUCCAAUACAACCAGACGCAGGACGUAGGUAUUACGCCAACUCGGCGGCCGAACCUGGAUAAAAAGCUUGUCCGUGUCUUGCGUCACCAUCGAGUUCGUAGUUUGCGCACCGUCUACCGAUAAACUACUACCGUGGGUAUACCCCAAGGUAGACUGCCGACCAGCUUUCGUCGACACCAAGUAAUACAUUAAUAAGAAAUACACUACAAUUCAUAAUACACUACAAUUCAAAACACUACAAUUCAUAAUAUACUAGAAUAACAUACUAAAAAGUCUUUUAAGCCAAGUAAUAUACUAGAAUAAUAUACUAAAAUAUAAUACUAAAAAAUAAUACUAUAAUAAUAGUAUAAACUAAUAGUAUAUGUUUUAAGCCAAGUAAUACACUUGCACAUAGAAUAAUGUAUUAAAAAAUUCAUACUACUACAAAUUGAUACAAGAAUAAUAUAAGUGCAUAUAUAUACAUAAUAAGAAAUACACUAGAAUAAUAUAAGUGCUAGAGUGCUCCAAACUAAAAAGUAAUACUAAAAAAAUAAUACGGACAAUAACACUAGAAUAAUAUACUAGCACACAAUAUAUUUCAUAACAAUUCAAAACACUAGCACAAAAUAUAUUUCAUAACAAUUCAAAACACUACAAUUCAUAAUAUACUAGAAUAACAUACUACAAAGUCUUUUAAGCCAAGUAAUAUACUAGAAUAAUAUACUAAAAUAUAAUACUAAAAUAUAAUACUAAAAAAUAAUACUAAAAUAAUAGUAUAAACUAAUAGUAUAUGUUUUAAGCCAAGUAAUACACACUUGCACAUAGAAUAAUGUACUAAAAAAUUAAUACUACUACAAAAUGAUACAAGAAUAAUAUAAGUGCAUAUAUAUACAUAAUAAUACAAAAUAAUAGUAUAUAAACUGUUCGAUAUGAAAUAUAAGUGCAUAUAUAAUGAUACAAAAUAAUAGUACAUAAUUAAGUGCAUAUAAAAUAAUAGUAUAUAUAAAUAAUGAUACAAAAUAUAUUAAUAAUAUAAAAUAAUGAUACAAGAAUAAUAGUAUAUAUAUAUAUACAUACAUACAUAUAUAUAUAUAUAUAUCUUAUAUAUAUAUAUAAGAUAUAUAUAUAUAUAUAUGUAUGUAUAUGUAUAUAUAUAUAUAUAUAAAUUGUUGGUAUUCAUAUAUAUCUAUACAAUUCAUAUAUACAAUUUUAGUCUAUACAUAUAAACUGUUUUGACAUUCAUCCAUAUAUAUAUAUAUACACACGAGCGAUCGAUACAUGAAGAAAUAUACGUAGAUCUGUGGAGAGCCGCUGCAGCGACGCUGGAGAUGAACGGCGGCGCUGGGGAGACAAACGGGCGGCGCUGUAGAUGGCGGCGGCGGCGCUGGAGACGAACGGCGGCGCUGGGAGACGAACGGGCGGCGCUGGACGAUGGCGGCGCGGAGAUCUCUGCUCGACGAAGACGAAGACGAAGGGAACUGCCCAGAUCCAGGGCGCCGGCGGCUUAUAUAGGGGCGGACCCUUUAGCACCGGUUCGUGCCAGGGACCGGUGCUAAAGGGUCCAGCGCGCGCUAGGGCGGGCUUCUGAAAAUAUGUCAGGACCCUUUAGCACCGGUUCCCACUAUGGGCCGGUGCUAAAGGCCCAUUUUUUAGUUUAGGGUUUUUCAAUUGUUUUAUAUAUACAGUUUAUAUUAUAAAUUGUAUAGUAAAUUAAAUAUUUUGCAUAAUAUUUUUAAAACAGUGAUAUAUAUUGUAAUUUGUUUUAAUGUACACAUGAAAAUUUUUUAACUUAAAUAUCUUAUUGUAUUUUUAUAAUUUGCAAUGAUUUUGUAAGAAAUAUUUAGUAUUUUGUUAAUGCAAAAAUAUAUUAUUCCAAUAAAUUUACAAAAACUAUAUCCAAUGAACUGGAAAUUUAUUUUCACAUCAUAUUGACGUAAAACUUUUUAUUUUGUUAUUUAUUACUAGGAAUGCUAGUUGGGUAUAAUUUUCAUCAAAUAAAAAAUCAUAUAAAAAUAUAUAUCUUGAUGAACACACCCUUUGACCGAACCCUAGAUUGUCCCAAAUGGAAAAGUCAUGAAUACAAAGUUUGCUACACUCAUCAAGUUCUACAUUUUGUCUAAUGGUCAACUUUUCAUUUAGAAAAGUUUGAACCACUAAAUUUUGAAUUUUCAUAGAACUCAUAGCCACGCAGCGGUUUCGGAACCCUAGAUGAUCUCGAAUGGAAAAGUCAUGAAUACCAAUAUUGUUCCACUCAUCAAAAUCUACAUUUCAUAUAUAGACCAUUUUUGCAUUUGACAAAGUUUUGGGAAGGUGUAGUUGAAAAUCCACAAUUGACACAUAUAGUUUCAUAUAGUUUGUGUGAGAUUCAAGAAUUGGUGGGUAUUGUUAACUUAGACUUUCUCAAAUGGAAAAGUUGUGUAUAUAAAAAGUUUAGAUCUUGAAGAUAUCUAACAACUUGGUAUUCAAAAUAUUUUCAUUUGAAGUAAUUUAGUUUGUCAUUUGACCAAGUUUGACCAAGUUUGACCAAAACCCGUCUUGUAUUUUAUAGAAAUGUAAUUAGGAUUGGCUCAAAAUUAUCCAAAUGGAAAAAUGGACAAUAUAUAAAAUAUAGAUCUUGAUGAUCUCUAACAACUUUGUAUUCAAACUUUUUUCAUUUCAAGUCAUCAAAUGGGUUAUUUGACCAAGUUUGACCAAAGUCAAAGCAUUGGUUUUUACAAACACACCCUUUGACCGAACCCUAGAUUGUCCCAAAUGGAAAAGUCAUGAAUACAAAGUUUGCUACACUCAUCAAGUUAUACAUUUUGUCUAAUGGUCAACUUUUCAUUUGGAAAAGUUUGAACCACUGAAUUUUGAAUUUUCAUAGAACUCAUAGCCACGCAGCGGUUUCGGAACCCUAGAUGGUCUCGAAUGGAAAAGUCAUGAAUACCAAUAUUGUUCCACUCAUCAAAAUCUACAUUUCAUAUAUAGACCAUUUUUGCAUUUGACAAAGUUUUGGGAAGGUGUAGUUGAAAAUCCACAAUUGACACAUAUAGUUUCAUAUAGUUUGUGUGAGAUUCAAGAAUUGGUGGGUAUUGUUAACUUAGACUUUCUCAAAUGGAAAAGUUGUGUAUAUAAAAAGUUUAGAUCUUGAAGAUAUCUAACAACUUGGUAUUCAAAAUAUUUUCAUUUGAAGUAAUUUAGUUUGUCAUUUGACCAAGUUUGACCAAGUUUGACCAAAACCUGUCUUGGAUUUUAUAGAAAUGUAAUUAGGAUUGGCUCAAAAUUAUCCAAAUGGAAAAAUGAAAAAUAUAUAAAAUAUAGAUCUUGAUGAUCUCUAACAACUUUGUAUUCAAACUUUUUUCAUUUCAAGUCAUCAAAUGGGUUAUUUGACCAAGUUUGACCAAAGUCAAAGCAUUGGUUUUUACAAACACACCCUUUGACCGAACCCUAGAUUGUCCCAAAUGGAAAAGUCAUGAAUACAAAGUUUGCUACACUCAUCAAGUUCUACAUUUUGUCUAAUGGUCAACUUUUCAUUUGGAAAAGUUUGAACCACUAAAUUUUGAAUUUUCAUAGAACUCAUAGCCACGCAGCGGUUUCGGAACCCUAGAUGGUCUCGAAUGGAAAAGUCAUGAAUACCAAUAUUGUUCCACUCAUCAAAAUCUACAUUUCAUAUAUAGACCAUUUUUGUAUUUGACAAAGUUUUGGGAAGGUGUAGUUGAAAAUCCACAAUUGACACAUAUAGUCAUGACAAAUUUUGCAUUUGAUGAUCUCUAACAAUUGGAAAAGUCAUGAAUACAAAGUUUGUUACACACAUCAAAAUUCACAAUUCUCAAAUAUAGUUUCAUACAAAGUCAAGCCGACACAACAGUGAACUUCUUCUUGACGUAUGACCCUUGGUUAUGAUCCUGCCGUAACCAUGGAGUAUCCUCAUUGUUUAACAGAAUGCUUGGGUCUUUGUUGACUAUGAAGGGCGGAAUUCGAUCAUCCCUUUCGUAAUCGCCUGACAUGUCUGACUUGUCCUCAAUUCCGACAAUGUUUCUUUUCCCAGAAAGGACAAUGUGGCGCUUUGGCUCAUUGAUGAUUGAGUGGUCAUCAUUUUUUCCUCUCUUUGGUUUCGUAGACAUAUCUUUGACAUAGAACACCUGACUCACGUCUGCAGGAAGGACGAAUGGUUCGUCUUUGAACCCACUAUUGUUAAGGUCCACGGUUGUCAUCCCAUACUCCUUGUCGACUGUUACCCCACCUCCGGUCAUCUUCACCCAUUGGCACCGAAACAAAGGAACUUUAAAAUUAGCUGCAUAGACUAGUUCCCAUAUGUCUUCUAUGCGUCCAUAAUAUGUUUGUCUGUUCCCAUUUGGAUCCGUGGCAUCCACGCAUACACCACUAUUUUGGUUGGUGCUCCUUUUAUCUUGGCCAACUGUGUAAAAUGUGUUACCAUUUAUCUCGUACCCUUUGUAUGUGAGGACAUGCCAUGAUGGUUGCCUGGCCAACAAAUAAAGCUGCUCAUCAAUGUUUUCAUCACCUUGACAUUUUUUGCGCAACCAAUCGCCAAAAGUUUCCAUGUGCUGACACAUUAUCCAAGCUUCAUUCUUCCCGGGCCACUGGGACCGUAGGAAAUCUUUGUGUACCUCAACAUAUGGUUCCACCAAUGAGGAGUUCUGGAGAACUGUGUAGUGUGCUUUAUUGAAGUAAUCGUCUCCCGUACCAAUAUAUGUUUUCUUCCCAAGUGUUCCCUUUCCGCUGAGUCUGCCCUCGUGUCGAGAUUCAGGAAUGCCAAUUGGGUCAAGGUCUGGAAUAAAGUCAACACAGAACUCUAUGACCUCCUCUGUUCCGUAGCCCUUGGCAAUGCUUCCUUCUGGCCGGGAACGACUAUGGACAUAUUUCUUUAGGACACCCAUGAAUCUCUCGAAGGGGAACAUGUUGUGUAGGAACACAGGACCGAGAAUACGAAUCUCUUUGACCAGAUGAACUAGGAGGUGUGUCAUGAUAUCGAAGAAGGAUGGAGGGAACACCAACUCAAAGCUGACGAGACAUUGAACGACAUCAUUCUGCAGAGUAGCUAGUUGCUCUGGAUGAUUGCCAUCUGAGAAAUUGCAUUGAGGAAUGCACAUAGCUUUACGGUGGCUAGACGUACGUGUGGAGGUAGAAUUCCUCUUAAAACGACCGGCAGCAAUUGCGUCAUUAGAACGUGACAGUCAUGGGACUUCAAGUUCAGGAAUUUCUUCUCUGGCACAUUAAUUAUUCCCUUGAUAUUGGAGGAGAAUCCAGAUGGGACCUUGAUGCUGCUAAGACAUUCAAACAUGCUUUCCUUCUCUUCUUUGCUCAGAGUGUAGCUAGCAGGGCUUAAGUAAUGACGUCCAUCAUCUGUCUUUUCUGGAUGCAGGUUGUCUCGUUCUUUCAUGCGCUGCAAGUCUUGUCGUGCUUCAAGUGAAUCCUUAGACUUCCCGUAGACACCCAUGAAUCCGAGCAAGUUCACACAAAGAUUCUUUGUCAGGUGCAUCACGUCGAUCGCGUUGCGGACCUCUAGGACAUUCCAGUUCAGAAUUCAACCUUUAGCACCGGUUCAGAGCAAAAACCGGUGCUAUAAAUGGGCAGAGGGGAGGAGGGAGCCGGCCUAUAAACCGGACCUUUAGCACCGGUUCAGAGCAAAAACCGGUGCUAAAGGCUUACCUUUUAGCACCGGUUUGUAACACAAACCGGUGCUAAAGGGUUUGCCUCGGCCCGUGGCUCUGGCCGGUGCUAAAGGGACCCCUUUAGCACCGGUUCUUGUUAAAAACCGGUGCUAAAGGGUCCCUGCCCCGACAGCACAUGUCAGUAGCCGUUGGGCAGGACCCUUUAGCACCGGUUUGUAACACGAACCGGUGCUAAAGGGGUCUUUAACCCCGGGCCGCAAAAAGGCCGAGGUUUUUGGCCAUUUUGGGCAUCGACCAAUGCCUCAUUCUGUAGUAGUGAAGAAGAAGAAAGAGUGGAGGAGCACUUGGCAUUGGAAUUCAUGAUACUGUUCCCCAUGUACCCUGUACAAAUGGUGUGGACAAGGUUCUCACCAUGUUGGAGGUACACAUAUCUCACUACUAGUGCUCAACAAAGCUCCUUUAUACUAUUACACAGUGAAGCAGUGAGAAGAAAACAUAGCGCUAGCUUAGGCCGGCAUAUGACUGCGUGAGAGGAGAAUAUAACAACAGCAUUCCAUUUCUCUUUUUCUUUUUCAGCUUAGCUUCUUUCUCGAAAGCAGCUCCAUACAAGGACACGGUACAGGACAAGAGACUCCAAACGUAUCAUGCACUAUGCUUUGCCAUGCAUCAUGCUACGGGUACAUAUGAUGAUAUAGCUAGAGGUACCCUAGCUAGCUAGCCUUGUGACAUCCAGCUCGAUCUCGAUCUUUUAUCUGAACGUUACAAGAUCGCGGGCAUUUGACGGCAUACAACGAUUUUUACUAAUCAGGCUAACUUGCACCUUAGCUUACCAAUAACUAGCUAAAAACUACUACUGCAAACUGGAUCGAUCGAGUACACUAAUCUGCCGUAAUAAGUGGCGGCAUGCACACACGGCCAGAGCCAUAUAUAGCUAGCGCGCCGUCACAGGCCGUGGCGGCCGCCGUGGUGCCUGCGGUGGUGGUGGCGGAGGAAGAAGUUGAUCAUGGGCGACGGAGCCGGAGCCGGGGCCGGCACCGGAGGGAAGAGGAGCCCGCCGGCGGUGGCAUUGAACGCCGUCGCCGGUGUCAUGGCGGAGGGUGCCGUGGCCAUUGGUGGCGGAGGCGUGAAGGCCGGAGCCGCCGGCGGGGCAGUGAGGUGCGGCGGGCAUUGGUAGCACUUGGCGAAGAGGCCGAAGGUGUUGACCUGCUGCACGAAGUUGGUUAUGCUUGCCCAGCCGCCGAAGCCGAAGCCGACCACCAGCACCCACGCCACCACGAAGGAGUUGAUCACGUACGCGCCCGUCCACCCGCCGGCGAACCUCGGAGGCCGCUCCACAGCGUUCUGCAGUUAAUUAUACAUCAUAUAUAAUGGGCAAAAUGAAAUGAAAUGAAAUAGCUUUUCUCUUUUAGGAAGAAAAAGAAGACAUAUAUAAUGAGGUAUCCAUGCAUCCUAGCUACUGAUGUCAAAGUGAGGUGUGUCUUUGGAUCGAUGUGACUGCUGAGAGCUCAGCAGAGGCUCUCUCAAGUGUGUGUUGCUUCCACCACUGCUUCUUUUUGUUGUUUCUCACACAUGGUGGAGAGGAGCUAGCGCCUGCUUCAUGCAUUCAUGCCAAGAGCUCCCAGACACCACAAGGUACAAAGGCUCAUGCUCGUCUCUGCCACACCCUCUUGUGUUGUGCGCGGCUUUCCAGUACGCUAGCUGGUUUUAUUAUUAUCACCACACACACCACUUGUGCGCUGAAAAAGGGAAUUGCGUGCUGUCGUCGCAGCAGUUUUGUCUUGCCUUCAGUGACACGACGCUGACUGCACCAGUAUAUAUGUACUAGAAAUGCAUAAGUAUAUUCUACUCUAGUACUAGCUUGUUAUAUACCAGUACUCAUACCCUCAUAUAUGAUAUGGCACGACCACCCAUGGCUUAUUUGUAAGUAUGUAUAGCUAGAUCGUCGAUCUGUGGAUGGAUGUUACGAUCGAGAUCUCGCUACAGGUUUGCAUGGACUCCAAUCAGUGUGUGCUGUACAAGUAGUAAGACAAGUCAUGCAUGGCCACCGACGCGCCUCACCAUGCAUUCAGUCUAGCUAGCUAGCUCAUCGAUGAUUGGUCGGGUUGCGCAUACAGCAGCAGCUAACCCAGGUUAUGGACAGGGUGGGCCGUAUGUGUUUUCUAGUAGCUAGAAAAUCUGAGCAAACUGCAUGCAGACAGUUUUAGCUGUCCUACUACUAACAUCGACAAUGCAUGGCGACUGCAACGUUAAGCUGUUGGCGACUGCAUGCAUGCGACAAUGGCGACUAGCUAGCUAUCUGUUUGCAUGGACCCCAGUGUAGCCAUGCACGUCCAAGAAACUGUCGCGUCAAGUUGAUGGCCGAUCGAUCAAGACAGCCCGCAGCAUGGAUGCAUGCAGUUAUGUACUAUAUAUAUACGUAUGUGUAUAUAUAUAUAUCGAGAAAUGGACAAGAAUUAAAGCUGCACAGUGUGUUGUGUGUACUACUAAUACUACUGUAGUACACACAUGCAUGCAUGUCGUGGUGGAGUAUUAGUAUGAAUGAGGCAAUUAAUUAGUACUGUACUAGUAAUAAGCAGCAAAUUAACAAUCCGUAUACGUACCUCCCUGGACUGUGGCGACCUGAAUGUGACCAUGUGCGCGAGCGCCGGUAUGAUGUAGACGGUGAAGCUGACGAGCAGCGAUCCGACGGCGGAGUUGAUGGGCCCGAAGAAGGGGAAGAUGAUGGCGAGGAACCAGAUGGGGACGACGACGGGGAGCCUCGCGGCGGCGCGCUUGCAGAGGCUGCGGCAGUCGUGGAGGCCGAUGAGCUUCUCCCAGACGAAGUAGAGUGGGGUGCAGGCGAAGCCGAAGGUGAUGAACUGGUGGAUGAGCAUGAGCACCACGGCGGCGUCGCGGAACCGGGUCCGAGGGAGCAGCGCCAGCGCGUUGGAGUGCGUCAGCAGCUCGUCGCCGAACGCCCAGUAGGCGGCCGCGGCGGAUGGCAGCGUCAGCGUCAGCACGUACAGCGUCGCCAGCAGGUAGAUGGCCUUGAACUUCUGAGGACGCCACAUCGCGUGCAUGAUCUCGCUGCAGUUAUUAUUAGUAAUCAUUUCAUUUAGCGAAUUAAGCUAGCAAUUAAUAUAUGAUAGUAGUAGGAGUCAAAUAUAGUAUGGCAGGCAGGCAGGCAGGCAUACGUGCUGCAUCUGCUGCAUGGGUCGUCGUCUCGAGAACGAGAAGCAGGCAAGGAGUCAUGGGGCCUCGUGGCAGGGUGGGACCCAUGUGUCGGUCGCAUGCAUGCAUCUCAGUGCUGUGCAUGGGUGUCCAUACGGGACGGACGGAUUGUUGAUCCGUCAGGUCAACUGUGGAUGGAAAGAGCCGCUGGUUGGCCUAACCGCACGCGGAUGAUGCAUGCAACGGUCCUGUCCUUGUUGGGGGUCUGUAACGUAGCACCCAAGUGAGAACCGAGAGCAGCAGCAUGGGCAUGGGCCACACACUAGCUUGCUCAGUCACUGCUCUGUGCUUUGUGCUGUGUCCAUUGUUUGUACUAGCUAGAUAAGCUAGCUAGCUAGCUAGAGGGAACACUACAAAGGCAGCAGCUGCUACAUUAUAUUUCUUUGUUGUGAACGUUCAGUCCUUGAUGUUACAAAAGGAACUAGUACAUCUGAUGAUGCGCGCUACUCCUAUAUAGGUGUAGUAGUGAAUAAUAUAUGACACUAUUAGCUAGUUCUAGCUGAAGAUGCAUGCACGGAUAAUGUUGAAACAAGUACUAGUACUCAACUUGCUAGUACACCACGAGUUGGGUUUGUAGUACUGAUGUGGUUUGGACGGCCCCAAGAUGAAUCGAUCGGCUAGCUAAUUAGAGUAUAACUAUUCUGACGUUUGUCAUUUUUUUAGCACCAUCAUCGAUCGCUUUUAUCUAUCUUUGUCAUGGCCAAUUAAUAUAAUCCCCCAUAUGCAUGCAUGCAUGCAUGUCAGUGGUCCCCCAGAAACACAUGGGGGCCCGCAUCAUUCCCCGCAGCAUGCAUGCAUGUGCCGGUGUGCGGACAAUGUGCCGAGCCGCGAGGGCAGAGCGUGCAGCGUGCGCGCACGGCGCACGCACGUCGCACGCGCGGCAGGCGACCAAAACCAUCGCCAGUGACCGUUGCUUUCUGUUAACUACUGCUAGGAUAUACUACCAUUAGGAGUAAUCAAGAGAUCGACAGAUUAUUAAUUAAUAGUACUAAACUACUACUAAUGAUGUACUGUACUUAAUUAAGCAGCAGAAGCUAGCAAGGCAGCUGAUAUAUAUAUAUAUAUAUAUAUAUAUAUAUAUAUAUAUAUAUAUAUAUAGAGAGAGAGAGAGAGAGAGAGAGCGAGACUGGUAGUAACUGAGAUGAACUAGCUACUCACACUGUGACUGCGUGUCCCCCGAAGGUGUAGAGUAUGUUUGUUGCUCCGGUGAAGUAGAGCACGAUCCUAGUGGGUCCCGAGUGCUGGACGCCCUGGACCUGGCCGUGGACGAGGGAGGCGACGGCGAUGUACCAGGCGGUGUAGGUGGUCAUGACGAGUCCGAGGAAGGACCAGACGCGGUAGUUGUGGAAGGACGGGAUGAAGACGGUGGUGGCGCAGCAGGCGCCGAAGACGUAGGUCCACGUCCGCUUGUCGAGCCGGUCGUUGACGUAGUAGAUGUUGCUGGCGCAGCCGAUGAGCUGGAUGACGGAGCCGAAGAGGAGGAAAGUGCAGUUGAAGGCGAGUCCGGCGUUCCGCCAGUGCCGCCCCAGGAGUCCGUCCAGCACCUCGAACCACUGGAUGACGUGGUUCCGGAAGUCCACCUUGUCGCGCUCACGCCGGGUGCGGUACUCGAGGUACAGGAUGCUGAUCAGGUACGCCGUCCAGCUCCCCAGAAUGCCGUAGAAGAGCUGGAACAGGAUGCCGCUCACCAUCCCCAGCUGCGCGAACGAGUAGGGCAGCGUCAGCAGCACCUGCGCCACCUGGUUCGACGCGCAGCUGAACCACGCGUCGUAGGCCGACCCGCCGUGCCACAGAAGACCCGACAGACGGGACUUGACUCCGCCGCCGCCGCCCUUGGUGGUGGUGUUGUUGCUGCUGUUGUAUUCCUCCUCCUCCUCCGGCUCCAUCGUCAUCAUCUCAGCCGAAUCGGCAGGGGCCUGCUGCUUCUCGUCGGCGAUGCCGCCUCCCGCUGCCAUUGAUGACAAGCUUAAUUAAUUAGCUUGUGUGUGUGUGUGGUGGUGGUGGUGGUGGUGGUGCUCGCUUGGUUGCUUGGUUGCAGCUCUAGCACUAGUGUGUGUUGCGUGGAUUGGAUUGCAGGGGAGGGGGUGGUGUCGUAUAUAUGGAGAGAUCGACGGAGAGGGAGGCGACGGCCCGCGGGGAGACAGCACUCCAGCAGCUGGGGCAUAAAGAAACCCAGCGCCCUUUCUUUUCAUGCCGGGGUCCUUUCUGGGGCUGGGGCUGUACUACUAUUACGUGCAGUGGCUCCUACCGUACCCUCCUCUCUGUUUUAUUUUAUUGUUAAUUAUUAUUGUUUGGGUUCACAGCACAUAUAUAGAAGGAGUAGAAGAAAAAGAAAACGAAAGGAGGAGCGACGAGUGAUCAAAAGACGGGGUGAAAAAAUCUUGUGGAAAAGUAAGGAGGAGAGAGGAGCACUUUGCAUUGCGAUCGAUCGAGCAUAUACGGAAUGAAGAAAGUGUUCUGCCGCCUGGACACAUUAUAAGUGGUGGUGGUCCGGGGCCGCGCCGGGCAAUGUGUGUGCGUGGAGCCAUGGACAUCACUUUUUUGGGGCCGGGAAAGUAUAUGGUGUGCAUCACUUGAGUGAUGUCCCUAAAAGAUCCGACUUAACGUGUUGUCCGUUGGAUGCAUGUUUCAUUUCAUAUAUAGCUUAGAUAUUCUCACCACAUCACCAUCUUUACUUGUUUUUAUUACCACUACAUAUAUAUAUUUAGGAUGCAAGAACUACUUGGAAUAUAUAAGAAAUUAUAUUGAUAAAUGAUUGUUUUCUCUAUAUAUAAUUAUUAUGGUUUGGUACUUCUUGCAUUGCAUUAUUCUACACCAGAGGGAGCAUAUGCAAGCUUCCUUUCUUUUUCUUUUGUCAAAAAAAAAAAUAUGUAAACCGGCCAGACGCCAGCCUAAAAAUCUGCUCACCUCCAACGCAAACCCAUCUUCUCAUCGGCGUCUCCCAUCCUCUCCUGUCUUUGGCAACUCACUAUUGCUAGCUGGGUCUACCAAUCAAAUUUCGGCUCCCAGCUGAUUCAUGUAUGUUAGGAUUCAAGUGUGUAACUUAUAUAUAAUUGGUCCAAUAAUGUCAUCGAAGAAUUGCAUUUCCACAGCCAUGGAUAUCUGACCCAUAUAUAUAUAUAUAUAUAUAUAUAUAUAUAUAUAUAUAUAUAUAUAUAUAUAUAUAUAUAUAUAUAUAUAUAUAUAUAUAUAUAUAUAUAUAUAUAUAUAUAUAUAUAUAUAUAUAUAUAUAUAUAAAUAUAUAUAUAUAUAUAUAAUACUAUCAAAUAUAUAUAUAUAUCUCUCUCUCUCUCUGUCUCUCUCUCUCUAUAUACAUAUAUAUAUAUAUAUAUAUAUAUAUAUAUAUAUAUAUAUAUAUAUAUAUAUAUAUAUAUAUAUAUAUAUAUAUAUAUAUAUAUAUAUAUAUAUAUAUAUAUAUAUAUAUAUAUAUAUAUAUAUAUAUAUUAUAGGACACCGUGUUUGAUCCGCAGUGUAGUGAAAAUCCAUGUGACAGACCAUUGCAUGUAUAUAACUAAUUUCUAGUAAUAAUAUACAACAUUUAUAUAUAACAUUUUUUUUUAAAAAAAGAGCACGCACAAAAAUAAGACAUGAAACAUUCUCUUCAGAACGAAUAUGUCCUGGUACAAUUAAAGGACAUCCUGAUAAAAGCAGCGAUCGAUGGUAUGUACUAGCUAGCUAGUAGAGAUUAAUUUCUUUCUUCCAUAUAGAAAAAGGGUAGUUGCUGCUGCUAAUGUUGUCCCGACUUCGUAUAUUGUAUUGUAUGCUUACUGUAGGUAGGCCGGGUCUCCAAGACAUCCAGCUCCUGCCAUACCAUUAGCAAGCGGAUGGAUGCGGGCUCGGAGGAGCAUGGCUCUUGGAGACCGUACAAAAAAUAAUGCAAAGCGCGGGUGCGUGCGUCCCAUACCCAUACGCGCGCAACGCUGUGAGCCCGCGCGCCCGGCCCCGGCGUGGUCUACGACGCUGCACCUGCGCAUGCACGAGCGGGUGGCCGGGAGCGCUCCUCCGCUCGCCCGCGCGCACUCGGGUCCCGCGACCGCGCUCGCGCCGGCAAGCCGGCCGGCCUCGUGGCCCGCGAUUAGCGUGUUGAUUACAGCGGAUGUUGCUGUCCACUCGGGCCUAAUUAAUUACUCGAUCUGCUUAGUGCUAGUAGUAAUAAACAAUCACUUAAUCGCAUCUGUUGUCUUGUCUGUUUGCCCUUCCCUCCUCCCUCUCUGGCUUUAGUUGGGGGAAUUACGGCAGAGAUCAGGUAGGAAAAGGCUGCUGAUUAUGUCGUCUCAUCUACCUUUACUCGCACGUGAUGAGGCCGCCAACGGUCGGUUUGGGUCAUCAGAUUUGUAUGUUUUCCCUAACCUGAUCGACAUACGCUCGCGUACCAUAUAUCCCAUCUCUUCAGUAUCUUUUUCUUUAUACUAUUUGGAGAAUGUUAUUACAUAUAUAGACACUUAAUCCCUCUUUGUUACCUAUACAUAUUACCAAGUGGUCAAUCCCUUUCUAAGUUUUAACUCACUACUACAUAAAGUUCAUCACCACCAAUUCUAAGACUAGUCUCAAUGCAUGUUUUAUGAGAGUGCCAUGCACAUUAAAUAGGGUGCCACAUAAGCAAAAUUACUGACUUGGUUAUCUAGUUUAAAUAUGGUGCCACAUUAAAUGAAGGAGUUUUAUUAGAUGAGAGAGGAGUUUCAUCCCCAUAAAACUCAUGUGGCUCGGUUACCUAGUUUAUAGUCUUUGUAACUUUGCCAUGAAACUAUGCAGUGAGACUGACCUACCCCCUCCCCCUCUUGGUUAUCGUCAUUGGUGAUGGCCUCGGUGAUCACCGCUGCCACUGGUUCAAAACCGACGGUGGUAAACUUCAUCACUAUCAGAUCGGCAUUCAUCACUAUCAGAUCGGCAUUCAAUCGGUUCAGAUCUAGCGAUGACGAUGCACACGUUAACGUCGAUCAGUCGUACCAUCCAGCAACGAUGAUGGAGACAUCAACGUCGAUCUGGCUUAUGAUCCGAGGUUGAUGUAUGUACCAACAGUCUGAGGUUGUUGUCUGUACCAACGGAGCCGGUCAACGUGUGAUCCGACGGUUUUGAUGACAACAUCAACACCAGCCAAACAUAAUAUCCGGUGGUAUGUCUUGUCCGUCACCGCCACUAUUGAGUUUGAUCCGGUGGUAUUGUCUUGUCCAUCACUAUCGCACUUGACUUUGAUCUGGCGGUGAUGUCUUGUCCAUUACUAUCGCUUUUAAGUUGGAUCCGGCGGUAAUGUCUUGUCCAUCACUAUCAUGCUUGUGCUAUAUUUUUCCAAUAGUGUUGCUACUAUCAUCACCGCCGUUGAUGGUUGAUAACGUCAAUUUUUAUUAGAACUUUUAGGCUCAAAGGAAAACAUGGAAACACAUUUGUCUAGGGUUUAAACUGACAAUUUCCACGAGUUUUGCAUAUUCUGUGAUUUUCAGGGAUUAUUUCAGAAAGUGCUGAAAAGAGGGAUUUAAGUGCUAUUCGACUACGAAACUUAUCCGCGGCGGAAGGACGACACCAGAGGAUUCAGGAACACUCCAGGAGACACCCGACACAACAGGGGAGCCAGCAACUGCCAGGUGGGGCCGGCCGGCCCCACCCUAGCGCCGGCCGGUCCCCUGUGGCUAGGGUUUGCCCCCCCCCUUCCGGAAGCUUCCUCCACCGCCUCUGAGGAGUCAUCUCGGCCGCUUGUUAAGUCAGUUUGAUCCAAGGCGCGCGUGCACUCCACCAGGCUAUAAAUAGAGGGGCAGACCCCCCUCCCAGAGACACCCCAGAUUCAGUUCAUUCCUCCUACUUCAUUUGUCAAGAGUAGUCAGAAGUUAGGGUUUCGAGAGAUUAGAAGUAGAGCUCAAGUUCUUCAAGUUCUUAGUAUAGGCGUCUAGCAAGGUUCAAGUAGAGAUCGGGCGCUCCGCUCGGGAUUUCAGACCUGUCUUCUAGAAAUUUGGUAAUAUUAUCUUGUAUUUCAUUAUGACUUUCCUCUACUUCAAUAUAUUACUAUUUAUUCAGUUCUUAGUUUAUUCUAGUUGCAUAUUCGAUAUAGAUGUGGUUUAUGAUGAUUGUUGUUAUAUGAUCGUAAAGCGCCUCAUUCAGUACUCGAGUGAGCCAGGUGGUGCACAUUAUGUAGAUGUGGUGUCUAGAUAUAUUGUGUACCCACGGAGGCACCCUGAUGUGCCGCGUUGUGUGGUAGUCCGCGUAGGUGACAGCUGCGUUGGUUCCUCUGUAGUCCACCCCCCCCGUACGUAGGACUAGCCAAGCGCGGUCGCGAAGGAGGUGACGGUUGCAUCUUAAAACCCUCAUUAGUUGAUGCUCCUUAUGAUGUUUUCUGAGUUUAUCACACUAUAGAUGAAAAUGUGUAGUAUGGCGUAGGCUGUAGACUUUAUAUUAGUAAUUACAUAGGUUUUUUUAUUUAU
RNAcentral lists this long non-coding RNA (42043 nucleotides) under Sorghum bicolor (sorghum). RNAcentral's name for it is "long non-coding RNA (SBIC_LNC001175)". Lineage: Eukaryota; Viridiplantae; Streptophyta; Magnoliopsida; Poales; Poaceae. The record is from RNAcentral.